GGGCGAUAUAGUCAAGCGGUAAGACGGAGGACUGCAAAUCCUUGAUGCCCCAGUUCGAAUCUGGGUGUCGCCUA
This 74-nucleotide transfer RNA is filed under the name Lepisorus ovatus. Its description in RNAcentral is "Neocheiropteris ovata tRNA-Cys". It matches the Rfam family "tRNA". From Rfam's summary of the family: Transfer RNA (tRNA) molecules are approximately 80 nucleotides in length. Their secondary structure includes four short double-helical elements and three loops (D, anti-codon, and T loops). Further hydrogen bonds mediate the characteristic L-shaped molecular structure. tRNAs have two regions of fundamental functional importance: the anti-codon, which is responsible for specific mRNA codon recognition, and the 3' end, to which the tRNAs corresponding amino acid is attached (by aminoacyl-tRNA synthetases). tRNAs cope with the degeneracy of the genetic code in two manners: having more than one tRNA (with a specific anti-codon) for a particular amino acid; and 'wobble' base-pairing, i.e. permitting non-standard base-pairing at the 3rd anti-codon position. Lineage: Eukaryota; Viridiplantae; Streptophyta; Polypodiopsida; Polypodiales; Polypodiaceae. The record is from RNAcentral.